This is a long non-coding RNA of Gossypium arboreum, 602 nucleotides long. RefSeq lists it as uncharacterized. The record is from RefSeq and is a predicted model, not a curated record. The transcript has 2 exons. NCBI's taxonomy places the organism in Eukaryota, Viridiplantae, Streptophyta, Magnoliopsida, Malvales, Malvaceae.
CGCGGAUCCUAGCUUAACUGGGUUGGGUCGGGUCAGGUCAGUCUACUCAAAACAACGUUGUUUUGACGUCUGAGGAAACCGACCAAAAAGGCGCCGUUUUGGUCCUUUAUAAAAGCUUAAAAUUUUUUUAAAAAAAUCAUUCUCCCCAAGUUUUAAAAAAAAAAAACAAAAAAAGGCUUCUCUCUUCUCUCUGGGUCAGCCCAGAUUCCGGCCAAGAAGCCAGCCAGCCUCAGCCGUCCUCGCCGUCGCCAACCCGCCGCCAGUCACCGCACACGGUGGCCAAAAAUCCAAAGGGGAGCAGUUGGGGCGGUGGCAGGUGGCUGACAAACGGUGGAGCAAGUGGCUGACAAGGCUAGGGCGGCGGCUAGCUUAGGGUUUUCUUAGUUUUUCCUUUUUUUUUUAAUUAUUGUGGGCUAGGGUUAAAAGGAUUUUAGGUUGUUGGGUUUAAGGGAUAGUUGGAUUUAAAGGAUAAUUGGGUUUGGGCCAGGCAAAUUGGGCUUGUAACAGCUUAUCAGUUCUCAACAUGUCGAUGCUGGUGAAUUCCUUUUUCUUUUUGUUUUAUCUAAGAAGCUGAAAAUUAAUAAUAUUAUUUUAUCAAAGCA